Molecule: unclassified non-coding RNA, 690 nt
Filed under: Hevea brasiliensis (rubber tree)
Lineage: Eukaryota; Viridiplantae; Streptophyta; Magnoliopsida; Malpighiales; Euphorbiaceae
Source: RNAcentral
CCCGUGUAGAGAGUUAAAGCAGUGCAAGCCGAUUGCAAUUUACAUGGAUCAAAACUUGGAAAUGCAAAUUUCAUCACAUUACAAACUGCAGAUAAUAUAAAUAAGUAGAUAUCAACAGCAAAGAAUUACAUAAUGAACUGAUACUAAUUUGCCUAUAGCCUAUAGCAUGUCAUCAAAGCUUAUAAAGCCUCUUGUGCACGGUGAGCACAGUAGCAAGCAUAUCCAUAAGUAGAUCUCUGUAUCCACACCUCUGCAUGUAUACGUGUUGUGUGUCUCUCACAAAGUAGAGGAAUUUCUGGAGCCAUGCAUCUUUUGAUCCUGUGAAUGAGGAGGUAGAGAUGGAGAUGACACUGCUGCAUGGUAAGAAGAUGAAGCAAGUUGGGCUAGCGCUGGAACAGCACCACCUGUAGAUUUCCAAGAGAUGCUACCGUUAGUAGUUUCAAACUAGUUCAAGCGAACAUGAUUCCAUCCAAACAAAAUAAAGGUUUUCACAAGGUCCAUAUAAUGACCUAGGUUUUGAUCAAAGACUGAAUGAUAUACUGAAUUGAAAGCAAAACAACCAACCUACUUACAAAAUUCCUACCCACAACAUGGACCAUGCGGUAAAACCAUAUAGGUUUGCAUGUGUUUAUUCAACCAAUGCACCAAUGCAGGCUGAUAAAACGAAUAGUCAUCCUUACUUCUUUUUUU